Molecule: long non-coding RNA, 2537 nt
Organism: Cynocephalus volans (Philippine flying lemur)
Lineage: Eukaryota; Metazoa; Chordata; Mammalia; Dermoptera; Cynocephalidae
Exons: 4
Source: RefSeq, a predicted model, not a curated record
CUCGCGGGCCGCUCUUUGGCUGGCCCCGGGAGAGGCUGGGUCCCCCAGAUCCGAGCGCUGCAGAUGUCUGUGGCGCUGUGUGCGGGAGAGGGAGGCUGCCCGGCGAGGCGGAGGAAUGCUGGGCCCGCAGUUUCUGUGGGUCAGGAAUCUGGAAGUAGCUUAGAUGAGUGGUUCUGGCUCAAGGUGUCUCAGGAAACUGUAAUCAAGGUGUGGCCCAGGGCUACAGUCAUCUGGAAGCUCAACCAGGGAAGGAUCCACCUCCAAGUUCAUUCAUGUGGCUGUUGGCAGACCUUGAUUCCUCUCCAGUGGAGGGACUCCUGGAGCUAAGCUGACAUGAUCUGGCUCUUACUUUGGUCCUGGAGACCCUCCAUGGCUUACAGUAUCCCCUAUGAAUCUCUGUACCUGAAAUGCCCCCAUUUGAGAUUCCCCAGGGAAAAUGCUAAGAUUCAUGCUACAGGCUCUACCCUGUUUCCUGCACCUGGCGGGAGACACAGAGCACCUCCGCCCUUCAGGAAACAGCCCACUUGUCAGCAGCUGGGCUCCCAGGAACAAAGGCCUAGGUUCAUUACCACAGUAUCGACCCUGACACGUUCCACCCCGGCCAUCUCCCCCAGAGUUCCUCAAUUCACACCCCAAAUGAAGUGUAAUUGGACCUGGGCACCUUUGAAGUCCCCUAGCAGAUUGCCAGCAUUUUGAAAUGUCCUUGAUUUGCAUGGUGAGGACCUGGUUGGAGGUGACAUUUUCCUUCCCCUCAUCCCACAGUUUUAAAGACAGAAUUAUUUUAAAUGACAUUCCCAACUAGGAGGAGUUACCAUGGAAGAAAUAAAAAUUCUCAAAGCCAAAAAAAGAAAAGGAAAAAGAAUUGGAUGAUCUGAUUAAUCUCUAAUGCACCCUUAAGCCCAGUUCUGGUUCUGUGAAUGCCACAUCCGAAGCCACGGUUUCUUCUCAGACUUCUCUCCAGGACCCCAACCUGGGGGAUGACAAGGAUCAAGGAGAGACUGGACUAGGAGGUUGUGAAGGCCAGCAGGCAGGCCACUGUGAGACCUGAAACCAGAAAACAAGCCCAGCUGCAGGCCAGUGAGUUGGCGAGGGAGGUGGGGUGUGACUGUGGGUCAUCUAUCUUCCUUCCCAGCUGAGCCAGGGCUUGCUCUGCAAAGUCACGUGCAGUCCCAGAAGUCAGCAUGCCUGUGUGAGCUGUGGCUCUAAAGCUUGAUGGUUUCCUGCAGGCCACAGAGGCAAGGGCCUGCCUGGCAGAGUCGUGCCUGUGGGCUCUCAAGGAGCCAGUGUGGCAAUACACUUUGCCCCCACUUUGUGGCCAGCCCCCAACUUGUCUGCUUCUGUGAGUUUCCUCAGGGGCAGCUAUUCUCUGAAGCAAAUGACCCACUUUCCCCUAGAACAGCACUGUCUGACAGAACUUUCUUGAGGAUGGAAAUGUUCUAUGUCUGCACCAUCCAAUAGGGGAGCUGCUAGUCACUUGUGGCUAAUGAGCACUUCAGAUGUGACCAGUGUGACUGAGGUGCUGAAUUUUACUUUUGCUUAACUUUGAUUUAUAUAAACAAUAUGGCUAGUGGCUGCCAUAUUGGAUAGCACAGGGACAGAUGAUCAAGUAAAACCUAAGAAUGAAAGCCCCAGUUUGGGGGAUGUAUGGUGUCGACUAUCAAUUCCCCAAAAAAGACCAUCAGGAAAACUUCUAAAUUAAGCAGAGCUUAGAACUACUCAGUAAGAAAGAAUACCUCCUUAACAGUACUCAUGUCUCAAAGUAGGGAAAUUGGGGAAGGGUAUUUUAGAGCCCAGACUGGGUGAUUUUUAAGUUGGGUCUUUCAAGGCAAGAGAAUGACUGGGACUGGGGAGAGUUUAUGACAAAAUAGCUUUGGGUUGUGAACACAGCCAGGCAAAGGUCUUGUAGUAAGUCUUGAUGAGCUAGCUGUUGGUCUUGAUAACAAGCUAUUUUAGUUGGUUCAGCCUUAUCUUCCAGAAGCAAGUAUUUCUUAGGGUAAGUAGCUAAGUUAUUUUUGCUUGUUCUCAGUAUUAUUUAAACAUAGGACAGGAAAGUAUGCCUGGUCCCAGUAUUGUUUAACAUAGGGACAGGGAAUAACAAAUUACCCCCAAACUUAGUAACUUAAAACAAUAAACAUUUAUUAUCUCACAGUUUCUGAGAGUCAGGAAUUUGAGAGUGGCUCAGCUGGGUGGUCCUGGCUUGGGGUCUCUCAGGAGAUUACGGCCAGCACGUUGGCUGGGACUGCCAAUAGUCAUCUGAAAGCUUUACUGGGGCUGGAGGAUCCACUUUUAAGGUAGCUCCCUCGUAUGGCUGCUGAAAUGGUGCUGGCUAUUGGCAGGAGGGCUGGGUUCCUUGUCAUAUUGGUCCUUCCAAUGGGGCUGCUUGAGUAUACCACGACUUGGUAGCUGGCUUCCCCCUGAGCAAGUGAUUCAAAAGAGAGCCAGGCUGAACCCACAAUGUCUUUUAUCACCUAAGCUCAAAGUCUCUCUUCAUCAUUUCAACAAUAUCCUACUGGUUAUACAGGUCAGCCUUAUUCAGU